Molecule: unclassified non-coding RNA, 213 nt
Filed under: uncultured fungus
Lineage: Eukaryota; Fungi
Description: sequence contains ITS1
Source: RNAcentral
UUGAUUUGUUUUGUUUUGUACUCUGACGAGGGUCUGAGCAGGUUUGUGUUCUCCUCCGGCGGGCGCUCUCCCGGCGAGAGCCGGGCGGGCCCCGGUGAAGGGGUCCGGCCCGCCGAAGCAACGAUAUUGUUAAACAACAAGGGGUGGGAGGUCGGGCGUCCCGGGGGACACCCAAUCACUGUAAUGAUCCUUCCGCAGGUUCACCUACGGAAA